Molecule: ribosomal RNA, 962 nt
Filed under: uncultured cyanobacterium
Lineage: Bacteria; Bacillati; Cyanobacteriota
Description: bacterial SSU rRNA
Rfam family: Bacterial small subunit ribosomal RNA
Source: RNAcentral
AAUUCGCCCUUAGAGUUUGAUCAUGGCUCAGGAUAAACGCUGGCGGUAGACGUAACACAUGCAAGUCGAACGAGAUGCUUUCGAGCAUCGAGUGGCGGACGGGUGAGUAACACGUAAGAAUCUGCCUUCAGGACAGGGACAACAGUUGGAAACGACUGCUAAUACCUGAUAUGCCUAUCAGUGAAAUGGAGCAAUCCGCCUGAAGAUGAGCUUGCGUCCGAUUAGCUAGUUGGUGAGGUAACGGCUCACCAAGGCGACGAUCGGUAGCUGGUCUGAGAGGAUGACCAGCCACACUGGGACUGAGACACGGCCCAGACUCCUACGGGAGGCAGCAGUGAGGAAUUUUCCGCAAUGGGCGAAAGCCUGACGGAGUCAUACCGCGUGAGGGAAGACGCUCUAGGGAGUGUAAACCUCUUUUAUCAAGGAAGAAGUACUGACGGUACUUGAUGAAUCAGCCUCGGCUAACUCCGUGCCAGCAGCCGCGGUAAUACGGAGGAGGCAAGCGUUAUCCGGAAUUAUUGGGCGUAAAGCGUCCGUAGGUGGUUUGGUCAGUCUGUUGUUAAAGCUCGAGGCUCAACCUCGAAGGGGCAAUGGAAACUACCAGACUUGAGAGCAGUAGGGGCAGAGGGAAUUCCCAGAGUAGCGGUGAAAUGCGUAGAGAUUGGGAAGAACACCGGUGGCGAAAGCGCUCUGCUGGGCUGCGACUGACACUGAGGGACGAAAGCUAGGGGAGCGAAACGGAUUAGAUACCCGUGUAGUCCUAGCUGUAAACGAUGGAUACUCGAUGUGGUGGGGAUCGACCCCUGCCGUGUCCAAGCUAACGCGAUAAGUAUCCCGCCUGGGGAGUACGUGCGCAAGCAUGAAACUCAAAGGAUUGACGGGGACCCGCACAAGCGGUGGAGGAUGUGGUUUAUUCGAUGCAACGCGAAGAACCUUACCAGGGUUUGACAUGUCGCGAAUCU